AGAGGGAGCUGUGGUUCUUCUGAGACAUGCCUAGUUCUGUCUGAAUUAGCUUCCCCAGCCAAGCUUUCCGAUCACUUGUCUGCUCCCCCCUCCGCCCCAUUCUUUCUCUCUCUUGUCUCUCGCACUCACUUACUCUUCCAUCUUUUGCCACUGUGCCAGAUAAAUUUAAAUGUAUCUGUUCAAGUGAAGAUAAUCCAUGCAAAUCAGAGCCACUGGCUCCCAAGUGCUCGAUUCACAAAGAGAGCGGUGCUUCAGGAGGUCACUCGUUCACAGCUGCUCCUCCCAUUAUAUUUUUCCCCCUUACAGCAGAAUUGCUGCUUGUAUACAGUGACUGAAAGGACUCAAUUUACUGCAACUGCUGCCUGGUUUUCCUUACAACUUUCUUUUAAAGAGGGACAUACCUUCCAGCUAUCUUGCCAAGAAAGAUGGACAACCUGUUAGAACAUCUCAUCAUCUGGUGUGGACAGACAAUUAUGGAGUUGAAAACAGGGUACGUGAGCCAUAUCUGGCUUUCAAGUAAUAUGCAUUCAGACUUCAAGCAUUGAAUUCUUCCUGUGAUUUCCUGUUUAAGGAUUCUAUUCUCAAUGUAUGUGGUGAAUAAAAACUCCAAACUUCGUCAUUGUAAACUAUCAUUAUAGGAACAAACCAGAAUGAGCUUCUUUCUCCUUCUCCCUUAUGUUGUGGUACUCAGAAGACAACUCGGAGUUUUCUGUUUUGCUUGUGAUUAAUCAUAGUUUGAUGUGAUAUCUUAGCUGGGUAAACUGUGUUACAUAUUCCUUUUUUAAAACAACCCAGUGUUAAAUCAUGGUAAUCUAUCUUGUUUCAAUGAACCAAUCUGGCUUGUUUCUUGAAGCCAAUUCCUUUAAUUAUAAGCCAUAGUUUACAGCUAUGUCAAGUCACAACUGGUAUAUUUUUAAAAAGAAAUCCCAAAGUUAAUUUUGAAAUUAGACUUUGUUCUUGAAAAGACUUUUCCUUGAUCAGCCACCAGUGAGAAGUACACAAUAAUGAACAAGAUGGAGCAGUGAUGCUAUUUUCAUGGUUGUCAAAUACAGCUCAGUAUAGAUGUGGGGACAUCAAUAGCUUUGAUUUUGAAACCUGCAACAUUAUGUUGUCUGCCAUGUUUAUACUACCCUCCUUUUCACAUUUAGUGUGCUACCACUGUGAAACCUCAAGGUGACAAUAUUGUUUGUUAACACAGCUGCCAUUUAAAGUUUGGAUUCACUUCUAUUUCUGUACUUGUUCCAAUGUUGUUCAGACAAACCAAAUGGAAUCUAAUCUUGAGAUAGUACUUUGAAUGGACAUGGGAUGUUCAUAAAUCUUUAUCCAUCUUCUUCACCAAUCUUUUCAUGCUGCUGUUUUCAUGUGUAGUGGCUGUAUAAAAAAGAAUGAAGUCUUUGAGUCUGUGUGAAUGAAUGAUUUUGUUAUGCACUGUGCCAUUCCUUUGUGAUUAACCCAUGAGAUAUGAAGAACUGUAAGGAAAAUCAGAAAAAAUUUGGGAAGUCUUGGGUUUUUUAAAAAAAAAUCCUGAAGAUUUCCUCCCCUGCAAAAAUUGAAGGAAAUAAUUAUGAAAUGUUUUCCUUUAGGAUGAUAGUUUAUUUCUAGAAAUGAGAUAGAAAAUCUAUUGUAAGCCUAUGUAAAAUAUCACAUCCUUGGUUUUGGUUUUAUUUUUCUCACCAGUUCUUUUAUGGCAAAGGGUGGUUUAAAGCUGCUUGACACUGUGGGAGACUAGAGGAGACUAAUGUUUGUGGUUUACUCUGUGUUUAUUUGUUUAUUUAUGGCCUUGUUGUCAUCAGCUAUAAAAGCCAAAGAGGUUCCUUAGAGUUCAGGACCUUGUGCUCAAUUUGGAACAAAAAAAAUGUAAAUAUCUUACUUAACUUCAGGCCUAAAUUUUGUUGGUUCAUCCUAACCAAAGUAGAUCCAGUGAAUCAAUGGUUUAAGAGAGAUCUUGAGUCCCUAUAUCAGAAAAAAGCAAGAUACAAAUCAAGUAAAUAAAUAGUGAGUCAACACAUAGGUAUAUCUCAUUAAUUCAAUGAGACUACUCUAGUUGGGUGUGUCAGCGUGGAGGGUCAGGGUGCGUGCUGGGUGGGUUUCUUCAAACUCCAUAAAUCAUCUGCUCCAGCACCCUGAUGAAUUGGUUGCAAUCGUCUGCCACACCAAUUCCUCUGUUCAAUGUCAGACUCAAACACAUCAGUAGUCUGAAGUCCAAACAUUUAUUCAAUAACUAUAAACAUAUUUACAAAACACAGCAAAAGCCAUCGCGCUGAGCUAGCAUUUCUUCUCUAGCCUCUUCGCUCCGGCUAGAUCACACAGCUCAACACUCUCAGAGAUAAGAAAACACAUUCCUCAGUCCGAAGGAAGUCCCCGACCUCCAAGGCCAGAAAUCAUGCCUGAUAGGUCAUAGCAGGCUGUCAGUCAAAACUAGCCUGCUGUUAACGGUUUCAUUGCUGAAACACACACUCUUGCCUAACAGCAGAAAACACUUGAUUUACAUUUCAUACACAUACAACCAUAAUCCAACAGGAUGUACCAACAAGAAUAAGGCCACUAUUUGGAUAAUUUCUUAAAUAAAAUUAUACGUGAUACAUCAUAUGUUCAUAUAGUGAUAAAGUGACUUUCAAUAGUAAAAGCUCCUGUCCUAUAUACUAAUGUAUAUAUCUAGAAAUUUUAGUCAGUAAUUCAAAACAGAAAAACUAGGUUGACGUAUUAAUAAGUCAGUGUGAAUAUUGUAUCAUAAUUCUUAUAUGAUUCUUAUAUAAGAAAAGGAACGAUCAUUGAGUAACAAAAUGCAAAAGCUUAGUGCACCCCAGGAGAACCUAAAUGAAUCAUUGACACCCUCUACUUUCUCUGCUGUGACUCCAUUUUUGAAUGUCUGGAUGAGGAUAAGGCAAAGGCAGCCUGGGAUGGCUGGCCACAUGUGGCAGCAUUGGUGCUUUCCCCUCUUAGCAUAAUGAUCAUCGACUUUUUCAUGAGUCAUAUCAAUAUACAUAAUUUUUGGCCCUAAAAUCUGCUUUUGACUUAUACUUGAGGUAAACGUAUACAUUAUAUGAGGCAACAUCAAAUUCCCUCGUCCAUACCCCCAUCAAUAAAAUAAAAUCAGUGAAAAAAUGUGUUUCUAAAAUGUCUUCAAUGUCUCCAGAAAUUAUACAGCUAAAGCUAUCCUAUGAUUGCUGUUUUCUAACAUCGUGGUCCUAGAAUUGUGUACUUAUUGAGCUCCUUCCUUAACACAAGUGUAACACAGGGGAAUGAAAAGACCCAGGCAAUAUACAGUUGAAAGAUGAGAUUGCAUUUCUCAUACUGUACUUUGGUCAUUUGAUGACAUAUUUGACUUUAAAAUGUAUUUAUUUGUUGAAUGCAUAUCAUACCUUGCCUUUCUCUUGGGAAUGCAUCCAAGGAGGCCAUAUCCAAAAUAAUAGCAACUGCUUUGUUCAACUAACACAGGACAACACAUGACAUGGUUUCUUAAGGGAUUAUUAUGUGCCAGGCAUUGAAGUUUUAAGUCCUUCAUGGCCGACUCUUCCCUCCAUCUGUGUAGACAGUCUUUCAAAACUAGGGAUUAUAUUUUUCUCCAAGAUCAUUUCUAUGAUUCUAUGAGUCUGUGAAUGUGGAUAUUUACUUUCAAAUUAUUAUUCAAACUCUAUGGAAUAGUUUUCCCUGGAAUGUAUGUUUUGGGCAGAUUUCAUGUUGGCUAAUCUUGGAUGAUGAGAAAAUUUGUGGUUGGCUUAUGAUGUCAUGAUGGUCUGUCAUAAUGCACAUCUGACCACCUCUUAGGGGUGUCAUAUACAUUUGUGAAUCAGUGCUGACAUAAGCAAAUAGGGUUUCUCUACCUGGAUGAUACCCUGAUUUAUUUAUUAAUUUAAUUUAUAUACCGCUUUUCUCCCCCAGCAUACAGUAUUUAUGAGAGGAAGUGAGACUAACUAGCACAUCAAAUUAUUGUGUGCUUUUACCAUUUAAGAGAAUUUGGGAUUUACUUUCCUGUAGUUCUGGCCAACUGUAUAUGGUCUACCUUUUUGCAAAAACCCGUUUUGUCAGGAGGAAGGUAACUUUUGAUUGCUUUGCUCAGAUACAUGUGCAUAUAUAUGGAACAGCUAAAAGUAAAUAAUGAAAAAGCGUACAAAAUAAUAUUUUUAGGUAUAGAAUUUAGUUUUAAAUAAUUCCUAUCAAAAAUGGGGAAAGCAAGUACAUGGCUCUGGUUCUUAAGAUUUCAAGAUCAAGGUGUAGCAAUCAUCAUCAUCAUCAUCAUCAUUUUAUUUCUUACCCGCUUCUCCUCAUGGCUUGAGGCAGGUUACAAAACAAUUAAAACAGCAAAAACACUACAAAUGCACACACUAAAACAUACCUCCAUAUAGAUACCAAAUGUAUCUCUAUGAAAUACAUAUUAAAACAGAAAAAAACAGAGAUUAUACAAAGGACAUUCAUGUUUAUGUUUGUAUGGGUAGGCCUGCUGGAAGAGACAGGUCUUUACUUGUGUCUUAUAUUCCGACAGCUCAUUUAGCU
Molecule: long non-coding RNA, 4494 nt
Organism: Anolis carolinensis (green anole)
Lineage: Eukaryota; Metazoa; Chordata; Lepidosauria; Squamata; Anolidae
Source: Ensembl